AGUCCAGCAGGCCAGCCCCAGUGUGGGGGUGGGGCUCAGCUCUCCUCUGGCUACAGAGGAAGGGGGUGACACCCAUUUCUCAGGCUGAGCAGCAGCAGCAGCAGCAGCAGCAGCAGCAGCAGCAGCAGCAGCAGCAGCAGCAGCAGCAGCAGCGAGAGCCAACCGCCCCGCCCCCCAACGCAGCCCAGCCAUCUGCAGCGCUAGGUUUGUGACUGAGCCCUCGGCAAGCUGCGGGGCCUGAGGCUGUCAGACAGCAGAUUCUCAUCCCGCCUUCUGAGGUGUUGAGGAAACACGAGAUGCACCACCAACCCACACCACGGUGACGUACUUGGCUCUGCCAUAUGCCAGCCUUGGGGUGCUCGAGUCUGCCCGCCCUGGGUGCGGGUACCCACCUUCCAGAUGGGAGGAUGUGAUACCUGCAGGGCAGCCAGAGAUGGGUGGGGGGAGAACAGGGGUGUUUUCUCCUGCCACCGACUCCAGGAGCGUGGGCUCCCUGGGCCCUGGCGGGGAAGGCAGCAGGGAGCUUCCUGUGCCCAGAGGGGGACUCAUCCAGCUGCCGAACAUCUGCAGGGCCAACCAGCUCUGGGGCACAUGUGUCCAGGGCAUGCCGCGAAGGAGAUGCUGACUUGGCAUGGCUGCAGCCAGAGAAGUCUUUGGCAAGAUUAUCUGACUGCCUGGAAAGAAACCACUCAGAAGCAGGAGAUUUAGCACACGUGACCCACAGCCAGAAAAACAUCCAGGCCCCAGAUAAGGAAACCCAGAGACGUUUGGUGUCUUUCCCGAGGCCACACAACCAGCGAGUACCAUAGACAUCUUGCUCCGAUAACACACAGCUUCUUGCUCAACAACAUGUGCAAGAUAGAGUUAGGGGUGGGGAUGGGGGGCAGCGAGAUGCCCAGCCUCAGGUGGAAGCUGCCAGGAUCUUUGGUCAGCACUGCCAUGGGGUGCAAGGUAAGAGGGCACAGAGGGGAGAGCCAGGAGGGCAGAGGCAGCUGUUUCAGGAACCUCCUCCUGGGAGCCUUGGCUGAUGGCAGUGGCCCUGGAGGACCCUGCCGAAGUCACAUUUGAUGAACUGUGAUUGACCACAAUGGCCACCACUUGGUGAGACUUCAUCUUCCCUCUGGGCACAAUGCUCUGGACAGAAAGUCAGUGGACAUGAUCCUGGUCACCUCUCUCUCUAAUUUUGUUGUCCCCAACCAAGAGGAUCUGAUGACCUCUCAGCAACUUUCCGGCCUACCUUACAUUCAUCUCAAGCUUGGGGGCGCUGUCUCAGCCCCUAGCCCAGUGCCAGGCAAACCACCAGGAAGUCAGCGGGGCUGCCCAAGGUGUCUGACUCCCCGACUCUUUGGCCCCAUCUUUCUUUAUCCAGAGGAGGGGCCCUGGACCCUAAACUGGU
RNAcentral lists this long non-coding RNA (1396 nucleotides) under Sus scrofa (pig). RNAcentral's name for it is "lncRNA (ENSSSCG00050028641.1)". Lineage: Eukaryota; Metazoa; Chordata; Mammalia; Artiodactyla; Suidae. The record is from RNAcentral.